Regulatory RNA element from Catenulispora acidiphila DSM 44928, 62 nucleotides. It matches the Rfam family "Actino-pnp RNA". The record is from Rfam. NCBI's taxonomy places the organism in Bacteria, Bacillati, Actinomycetota, Actinomycetes, Catenulisporales, Catenulisporaceae.
GCCGAUCUUCGGUAGUGGCCCUCGGGACGGUAUCCGCCCGGGGGCUUCGAUCGAAGACCGGG